CUGAGAGAGGAUAGGAAACUGUGAUGAGAGGAAAGAUUCAUACCAGUAUCCACAGGUAAAGAAUUUUGCCAGGACUCAGAGAACAGCAUUCACUCACUGAAGUGUUAAUGGCAAAGCAAAUCUAGGUGCAAAGUUGGCUGACAGGUCCGCCACAGGAAGAUUUCUGUCUAUCACCAUUUCAACUGUAGGAUAGGAAAAUUAGAUUGUCUUCUAUGAAGCUUGAGAAAAGCUAAGUUUUGCAAACAAGCUCCUGACCAUACAGCAGUAGCCAGAACAAUGAACAGGACAUGAACAAUAAAGAAUCUGUGACCAACAGGAAGAUAUGGAGAUUUGCAUACUUUUAAAACCUUAUGUGAUUAAUAUUAGAUUCAAUCUUUACAUUUCUUUUUACAACAUUUUGUUCCAUAAAAAAUGUCAAGCGUGUGUUUGCUGGGAAGAGGAAGAGUUCAUUAUUCUUAUGGUUUUCUUCAUUAUAUUUUGAAAAGCCAAGGAUGGGGAAAUCAACAUUGGUAAAAGCAAUUAGUGAUGUGGGUUGAGGUGCGGGAAUUACAUCCUAUCCCUUG
RNAcentral lists this long non-coding RNA (563 nucleotides) under Homo sapiens (human). Its description in RNAcentral is "HSALNT0330768". The record is from RNAcentral. Lineage: Eukaryota; Metazoa; Chordata; Mammalia; Primates; Hominidae.